AGGACGUGUAGGAAGGAGUGUCAAGGACCACCUCGUCCCAUCCUUGCACUGUGGGAGGACCAAGUGCCAAAGGUAUGAUAGAUAUGAUAUAUUUUCCCCACGCCUUUUGCCAGUUGGAACACGCUUACUUAAAUCUUUCCUCUCCUCCUGCAUUAAAGAUGCCCUUGUCCCUAAAGGAACCAUCUAACCAGAUCAAUCUAACCUGAAUUAGACUUUCUUAUGCUUUCUGAGGUUUUCAUUGAUGCCUCCCUCCCCGCUGUGUAAAUGUCUCCUCCCGCCAUGCUGACAGAAGACACAAACCGUAUCCCAGGUCAUGACGGAGCAGGCUCACACUUGCCUAGAGUUUCUGAGUCUUUGACCUGCUGAAAAUGAGAAGGACGACUGGGGGCCUGGGAAGUCGAGGGAAGCGUCAGAGCAGAGCAGAGCCCACACAGUGCCGGAGGCUGUAGGAGGGUCACAGGAACUUCAGAAAGGCUUGUUCCCAAGGUACAGCUUCUCUCUGUCAUGGGGCCUAACCUGCAGUCUCACAGAGUGUCAGGAAAAACGUUGUAGCCCCAGAAAGCUUCCAGAGGAACCAGUUGGACAGUCAGAUUGACUGUUCAGCAACAUCACUGUUUCAACAGGGAACGUAAGAAAAGAUGAUGGGGUUGUGAGUAAAGAGGGCAGUUCAGAACACGGUUCGUUUCUCCACUGCGUGGAUACUCAUCUGUGGGCUGCAGGACUGCCACGAGGAGCAGUUUGCUGGGGAAGCACGCCCUCCACCAGCAGAGACCGUAGUGAAACUGUUAUUUGCAGGCCUGAAGUGGUUUGUGUGUAUGCACGGCCUGGGCUGGGCAGGACACACACACUGCGGGGUGGUCUGGUCUGGGUAUAAACAAAGAGAAGGGUUUGGAGGGAGCGCGCCUCGCAGCUGGCUGAGUAAACAAAAGAGCAGUGAUGUCCAUAUGGGGAAGAGCCGCAGCCGGGGGGGGUUAAGGCUGAGCCAAGGUUGUGAAAAACCAAAUAAAGGAAAAGGCAGCACGCUGGGCAGCGUUGGGAAGCUCUGCGCCAUGCCCUGCCACGGCUCUGUGCCUCGUAGGCCAUGCUGGUAAGGCGGAGGUCUGAGUGGGGUCUCCAUAGCAGUCAGCCUUCACGUUUCCACUCUGAGAGAAGCGCAAACGCGGCUCCGUUUUAUUAGCAGGAAUUUGGGGGAGCGUUCAUCUCCGUGUUCUCUCAGUGCUGCUCUGCACUGCGUGGGGUUUUCUCUCGCAGGGAUGGAAUACAAGGACGGUGCGGUGGGAGAUGUGGCACUAGUGAGGGCUGGACGUGGUCAUAGCGGAGCUCUUUUCCAACAUUAACGACCCUACGACUAGAGCCGCCUUUCCCGCCGUGCCG
Long non-coding RNA from Gallus gallus (chicken), 1374 nucleotides. The record is from Ensembl. NCBI's taxonomy places the organism in Eukaryota, Metazoa, Chordata, Aves, Galliformes, Phasianidae.